This 450-nucleotide ribosomal RNA is filed under the name uncultured bacterium. Its description in RNAcentral is "partial 16S ribosomal RNA". It matches the Rfam family "Bacterial small subunit ribosomal RNA", at positions 354 to 796 of the family's 1533-position model. The record is from RNAcentral.
GUGGGGAAUUUUGGACAAUGGGCGCAAGCCUGAUCCAGCAAUGCCGCGUGCAGGAAGAAGGCCUUCGGGUUGUAAACUGCUUUUGUACGGAACGAAACGGUCCUGGUUAAUACCCGGGGCUAAUGACGGUACCGUAAGAAUAAGCACCGGCUAACUACGUGCCAGCAGCCGCGGUAAUACGUAGGGUGCAAGCGUUAAUCGGAAUUACUGGGCGUAAAGCGUGCGCAGGCGGUGCUGUAAGACAGGCGUGAAAUCCCCGGGCUUAACCUGGGAAUUGCGCUUGUGACUGCAGUGCAGGAGUGCGGCAGAGGGGGAUGGAAUUCCGCGUGUAGCAGUGAAAUGCGUAGAUAUGCGGAGGAACACCGAUGGCGAAGGCAAUCCCCUGGGCCUGCACUGACGCUCAUGCACGAAAGCGUGGGGAGCAAACAGGAUUAGAAACCCCAGUAGUCC